RNAcentral lists this ribosomal RNA (130 nucleotides) under Clostridium botulinum. RNAcentral's name for it is "partial 23S ribosomal RNA". It matches the Rfam family "Bacterial large subunit ribosomal RNA", at positions 2798 to 2925 of the family's 2925-position model. Lineage: Bacteria; Bacillati; Bacillota; Clostridia; Eubacteriales; Clostridiaceae. The record is from RNAcentral.
CUCAAGAUGAGAUUUCCCAUAGCGUAAGCUAGUAAGACUCCUGGAAGAACACCAGGUUGAUAGGUCAGAGAUGUAAGCAUGGCAACAUGUUAAGUUGACUGAUACUAAUAAGUCGAGGGCUUGACCAAAA